AUUAGGGAGAGGCAGAGGGGAGCAGCCAGCAGUCUUAUGCUACCACUGUGGCUCAUCCUGGGGACUGAGAGAAACCUGGGCAACUGUGAGCACCAGAGGCCAAGUCCUGGACAGUCUUUAGGCCAUGUUGGAACUACAUUUGGAAAGGUGGUUGUUAAACAUUUCCCAGCACACACCUGGAUCUGCAUCUGCUGUGUCAAUUGAACCACUCACUGGUUCUGUGACCUCAGUUCUUCGUAGACUCUGGAAUGGAGCUGGAAGCUGUCAUCCUCAGCACACUAACGCAGGAACAGAAAACCAAGCACUGCAUGUUCCCACUUAUAAGUGAGAGCUGAACGAGCAGAACACAUGGACAUAUGAAGGGGAACAACACACUCUGGGGCCUGUGAGGUGCGGGGAGAGCAUCAAGAAGAACAGCUAAUGGGUGCUGGGCUUAAUACCUGGGUGAUGGGUUGAUCUGUGCGGCAAACCACCAUGGCACACAUUUACCUAUGUAACAAACCUGGACAUCCUGCACAUGUACCCCGGAACUUAAAAAUAAAAGUUGACAAAAAGAAAACAUAACUUACUUUUAA
Molecule: long non-coding RNA, 575 nt
Organism: Pan troglodytes (chimpanzee)
Lineage: Eukaryota; Metazoa; Chordata; Mammalia; Primates; Hominidae
Exons: 3
Source: RefSeq, a predicted model, not a curated record